CGGAAGUGCGGCGUGCUAUACAUGCAAGUCGAGCGGACAGAUGGGAGCUUGCUCCCUGAUGUCAGCGGCGGACGGGUGAGUAACACGUGGGUAACCUGCCUGUAAGACUGGGAUAACUCCGGGAAACCGGGGCUAAUACCGGAUGCUUGAUUGAACCGCAUGGUUCAAUUAUAAAAGGUGGCUUUUAGCUACCACUUACAGAUGGACCCGCGGCGCAUUAGCUAGUUGGUGAGGUAACGGCUCACCAAGGCAACGAUGCGUAGCCGACCUGAGAGGGUGAUCGGCCACACUGGGACUGAGACACGGCCCAGACUCCUACGGGAGGCAGCAGUAGGGAAUCUUCCGCAAUGGACAAAAGUCUGACGGAGCAACGCCGCGUGAGUGAUGAAGGUUUUCGGAUCGUAAAACUCUGUUGUUAGGGAAGAACAAGUACCGUUCGAAUAGGGCGGUACCUUGACGGUACCUAACCAGAAAGCCACGGCUAACUACGUGCCAGCAGCCGCGGUAAUACGUAGGUGGCAAGCGUUGUCCGGAAUUAUUGGGCGUAAAGCGCGCGCAGGCGGUUUCUUAAGUCUGAUGUGAAAGCCCCCGGCUCAACCGGGGAGGGUCAUUGAAAACUGGGGAACUUGAGUGCACAAUAGGAUAUGUAAUCCACGAGUAUCGUUGAAUUGCUUAUAUAUUUGUAUGAUCUCUAUUGAGAAAGGCGAUCCUCUGUUCUUUAAUUGACUCUAUGCUCUUAACUUAGUAAUA
Molecule: ribosomal RNA, 750 nt
Filed under: Bacillus licheniformis
Lineage: Bacteria; Bacillati; Bacillota; Bacilli; Caryophanales; Bacillaceae
Description: bacterial SSU rRNA
Rfam family: Bacterial small subunit ribosomal RNA
Source: RNAcentral